AUCUGUGUAAGAUUUCAUUCGAGCACU
Molecule: small RNA, 27 nt
Filed under: Camellia sinensis
Lineage: Eukaryota; Viridiplantae; Streptophyta; Magnoliopsida; Ericales; Theaceae
Description: transcribed RNA
Source: RNAcentral